Long non-coding RNA from Spinacia oleracea (spinach), 3420 nucleotides. RefSeq lists it as uncharacterized. The record is from RefSeq and is a predicted model, not a curated record. Lineage: Eukaryota; Viridiplantae; Streptophyta; Magnoliopsida; Caryophyllales; Amaranthaceae. The transcript is spliced from 5 exons.
ACCACAUUUAUAGCACUUGUACAAUAAGCUCUAUCAUAUCCAUAACUUAUUAUAGGGCUUGAUAAUAAAAUGCUAUUAAAACAUGUGGAAAAAAUUAAUUAAAGCGUAUAAGGAAAAUAAGAAAAGAAAAAGAGCGGCUCAUGUUCACUCGAUUUCUUUUAAAGUUAAAUACGGAGUAUUUCACUACUCGUUGAACCCCCCUCACAUCCUCUAUUCCAGUUCUAAUUUUAGGGUUUUACUAUUCAUCAUAGGUUUACAAUUGAUAAUUGAGGAACUGAAAUAGGCAAUGGAGGAGAUCACAAUCAAAUGGCGGAUCUUGUUCAUGGGUUUCUUCCUCUCCAUUCUCUUACAUCUACGUCAAGGUAUCAAACUAACAGAGCGAGGUUUCCUAAACGUUCGAACGUUUUUGAACCUGCUUAUUCGCUAUGAUUUCGAUACCCUCAUUCUUCUCCUUACUCAGCUCAAGAUGAGGGGGACGUUAAUAACGUUAUGGAUUAAAAGAGAUUUUUGUUGUGCUAUUAUUGAAGAAGUUGGUAGAGGUCACUUCUCUAGUUCCUGGUUACCAAGUGGCUCUGGAGCCUAGGAUCGACUAUUGGCUUUGCAAUCGUUGCAAAGAAGGAAAUUACAAUAUUUGCCCUGAUAUGAGGUUCUUUGCAAUUCCACCUAUUCAUGUAUCUCUUGCUAAUCAGGUAAAACUUGAUUUUAUAUUUAUUCAUGACCUUAUAUUAUACUAUAAGGUUUAAUAUUGUCGUUUUCUUAUGUUGUUACAUGAUUUAUAGAUUGUGCAUCCAUCAGCUUUAUGCUUUAAGCUACUUGAGAUGUAAGUUUGGAAGAAGUAACAAUGUGUGAACCUUUAAGCGUUAGUUGGAAAUAUAGGGAAUAGUUUAUUGAAAUAACCUAUCUAAUAAGCCAAGCCAACCUGCCAAGCUUAGAAGCCCAACCGGCCAGCAAGGCCCACGACAAGCAUGUAGCGCGCAACAAGCAGUUGGUCCGUGGGCCAGCACUGCUGCUGCUGCUCCUCUUCCAUGCGCGCGCCUAGGCACUAAGGCCAUGGGCCAGCGUUGCGUGCUUGCACGCUGCGCCUAUGGGCCUUGCGCCUCGUGCGCUUGGCUCGUGGGUUGCUUUCGUGUUGCGAUUAAAUUAUCCUUCGACAAUUUAUUUAUCGUUUCUUACUUGACGACCCAAUGUCAUUCGAUACGAUUAUUCGUUUCGCCUAGCUUACGAAUAUACGCAAUACAAUAUACGAUUUCACGAUCCAAUGUUAAAUCGUAUAAUUAUGUUUUCCGAACUAAUUUCCCGAAAAGAUAUUAAAUGAAUUUUCGAUUCAUUUUAUCCGGUUAUCUGUUACAUGCCAAUGGUGUGACCUUAUAGGUUUAGUCAAGAGUAAGUUGUGAGCCUAAUUAGGAUUAGAACUCAAUAAUCAGAAGCAUUUCUCCAGGAAGCUGUUCCGACCACUUGAUCUCACUGAAUUAAUUGUUCGUAAUUAAUCUGAACCUUUGGUAUUAGACUAAUGCACAUUGGGUGAAGGACACAUUUCCUUCAGUCUCCCACUUGUCCUUUAGACAAGUGUGAAUUCACAUUCCUUUGUCGCUUAGUGUUACUUGCUGAACAUAAGAUAAGAUCUAAGCCAUCCUUAUUAGGUCCAUAAGUGUUUCUCGGAUUACUGAGUUCUACUGUUAAACUUUUACAGAAGGUUAAGCCUUAACAAUUAUGAGCACGGCCAUGCAUUUUCACAGUAUCUAACUCUCCGAGAGGCCUUGUUACACAACAACACCAUAUCAUAUCAAAGUUAGGAGGACAAUCAAUUCUUGUAAUAUAUGAAUACUCACUUUGAUUCAUAGUACUCCAAAUAACUGCUUUUAUAAUCUCCUUUUACGGUGCGAUGUUUAGCGAGUAUCAAGCGAACUAAUCUUCAAACAAGCAAUCAUAAUUAAUCAUGUUUUGAGGAAUGGUUCUAAUCACCAUUAAUGAGAACUACUUAUGACAUGAAUUUAAUCUCUUAAAGUGUUCUCAUUGUCAAUGCGAUACGAGAUCCUAUAAGUAUCUAUGCAAAAGAUUACUGACAUAUAAUGCCCAUCUAGUUCAAAAAACUAAACUAUAAAUCUACUUGCAAUCUAAUCUUCAUUAGUCAUAUUGGUCGUCCAAUUUUUCAAUGACCUGGAUUAGGGAUCCUUUUGUAACUUCAAUAUUCAAGUUCACCUAUGGGAGUUUCUUUGUCAAAGAAUCCAUCUUGACAUCCCAUUUGAAUGUUUUGAAUCACUUGGACUAUAUCAUUUAAUACUAAACCAAAAUUAAAUGAAUAUGCAAUAAAGCAUUUCAUAAAUAUGAAAUGGUUAAACCAAUUGUUUUAAACACAGAUCCAAUAAAUGUGUAAUCCCCCGUGAUUUUAUACAUUGUUUAUAUAUAUAUUUUUACGUAUAUUUAAUAUAUUUAAAUACAAUUUGCGGAUUUUAGAAAUGAAUAUGUAAUUAAAAUAUAAUUAUUUUAUUUCAUUUUGAAUACUUUAAUGAUUUACGAAAUCAAAAUGUAUUUUUGAAUUUUACGUCAAAACGAAUUCGAAUUACGAAAUCACGUUCUAUUGAAAUUAAAAAGCAAUCCUAAACAUUUUGGAUUCAACAACCUAAAUCCUACUCCUAGCCCAAUUGGGCAAAGUCCAAACCAAUAAAACCCAACACAAUACUCCCUUCUCUUUUCUACUUCACGUGAAACCAAAAAAAAAAAAAAGCAAACCUCCCCUCCUUCACUAUUCACGUAACAAACCCUCAGCACUUACCCUCCUUGCUGCCGCCUCCCUCGCCGCCGGACCACCACCUGUGCGUCCAACCAGUCGCCGCCGGUAAGCUUGGUCCUUCUGCUCCUUCGACCUCCUUCUCCUUCGUUCUUUUCCUUCUAAUUUCUUGCGUUCUUUUUCCUUUUGAUUGGUUUCCGUUCGGCUUCGCACAGCAGCCCACCUUGCUGUAACCGCCAUCGGGCAACCACUCAUCGUGCCGCCGUCCACCUUGCACGCAACCACCGCACGCAACCACCGUGCUCAACCCUUGCCGCAAGCCACCACCUGUCCGCCGGCCAACCUCCUCUCUCCCUCUUUUCUUGGCGGAGAAUUCUCUUUAGGCGACUUUUGAAAGUGUUAAAGUGGCCUAUCAGUUUGUUUACACAAGUCUCUAAGGAUCAAUAAGCGUUGCCCAUCUACAGGUUUGAAUAUGAUGCAUCAUUGGGAUCGGGAUUAGAGAGCUUGUAUUUAGAUUUGUUUUGUUAAAUGAUUUGGUUUGUUAAUUUGGACUUGAAAUUUGUCGUACUAUUCGUAUUUCCUUAUUUCCGUUAAUUGGUUUUUGGACUUAAUAUGUAAUCGAUUAUUUAUAAACCUAAAAGUUAGUUUUAUGUUUUCCGCUGCAAAAUUCUGAAUAAGCCGUUACGUUUUCA